GAUGAACGCUGGCGGCGUGCCUAAUACAUGCAAGUCGAGCGGACAGGCGAUAAGCUUGCUUUUUUGACGUUUGCCGCGGGCGGGUGAGUAACACGUGGAUAACCCACCUUUAAUACUGGGAAAAUCUCGGGAAACCGGCGAUUAUAGCGGAUAAUAUUUUGAACCCCAUUGUUCAAAAGUGAAAGACGGUCUUUGUGUCUCUUCUAGAUGGAUCCGCGCUGCAUUAGGUAGUUGGUUAGGUAACGGCUUACCAAGGCAACGAUGCAUAGCCGACCUGAGAGGGUGAUCGGCCACACUGGAACUGAGACGCGGUCCAGACUCCUACGGGAGGCAGCAGUAGGGAAUCUUCCGCAAUGGGCGAAAGCCUGACGGAGCAACGCCGCGUGAGUGAUGAAGGUCUUCGGAUCGUAAAACUCUGUUAUUAGGGAAGAACAUAUGUGUAAGUAACUGUGCACAUCUUGACGGUACCUAAUCAGAAAGCCACGGCUAACUACGUG
Molecule: ribosomal RNA, 497 nt
Filed under: uncultured bacterium
Lineage: Bacteria
Description: partial 16S ribosomal RNA
Rfam family: Bacterial small subunit ribosomal RNA
Source: RNAcentral